This 354-nucleotide unclassified non-coding RNA is filed under the name Hevea brasiliensis (rubber tree). The record is from RNAcentral. Lineage: Eukaryota; Viridiplantae; Streptophyta; Magnoliopsida; Malpighiales; Euphorbiaceae.
AACCAUUGAUUUAGGAAUAGCUCCAAGCAAGCUAGAAUCUUAUCAGGGUGGAGAUAUCGAGAGUAUAGAUCCCAUGGAGAGAUUAAAAUCUGUUAAAGGUCAUCUUGUUUCCUUCCCUUUGGAUUUUAUGUGCAAAGAAGAUUUAAGACCUGUGUUUAAUGAAAGUGAGUACUAUGCAUCAGCUCAAGUUUUUCAUUAAAGCUUCUCAUCUUAUGGACUACACAAAUUAGAAAAAUUAUCAACUGUCUCAGUGGGCUAUGCGUUUUACAGAAAUUCUAUACGACACCAUUUCAGAGCAUACAAUUUCCCGCUUUUUUAUUUUGACUGUGUUCUGUAUCAUAACAUUGUAUAAAA